This 804-nucleotide ribosomal RNA is filed under the name uncultured diatom. RNAcentral describes it as "bacterial SSU rRNA". It matches the Rfam family "Bacterial small subunit ribosomal RNA", at positions 33 to 876 of the family's 1533-position model. The record is from RNAcentral. Lineage: Eukaryota; Bacillariophyta.
ACGCUGGCGGUAUGCUUUACACAUGCAAGUCGUACGAGAGUUUUUAACUCAAGUGGCGGACGGGUGAGUAACACGUAAGAAUUUGCCUUUAGGAGGGGGACAACAACUGGAAACGGUUGCUAAUACCCCAUGUGCUUUCGAGUGAAAUGGAUUUAUCCGCCUAGAGAGAAGCUUGCGGCUGAUUAGCUUGUUGGUGAGGUAAUGGCUUACCAAGGCGACGAUCAGUAUCUGGUUUGAGAGGACGAUCAGACACACUGGAACUGAGACACGGUCCAGACUCCUACGGGAGGCAGCAGUGGGGAAUUUUCCGCAAUGGGCGAAAGCCUGACGGAGCAAUACCGCGUGAGGGAUGACGGCCUAUGGGUUGUAAACCUCUUUUUUCAGGGAGGAAUCAAUGACGUGUACCUGAAGAAUAAGCAUCGGCUAACUCCGUGCCAGCAGCCGUGGUAAGACGGAGGAUGCGAGUGUUAUCCGGAAUCACUGGGCGUAAAGCGUCUGUAGGUGGUCAAAUAAGUCAACUGUUAAAUCUUGAGGCUCAACCUCAAAAUCGCAGUCGAAACUAUUAGACUAGAGUAUAGUAGGGGUAAAGGGAAUUUCCAGUGGAGCGGUGAAAUGCGUAGAGAUUGGAAAGAACACCGAUGGCGAAGGCACUUUACUGGGCUAUUACUAACACUGAGAGACGAAAGCUAGGGUAGCAAAUGGGAUUAGAUACCCCAGUAGUCCUAGCCGUAAACAAUGGAUACUAGAUGUUGAACAGAUCGACCUGUGCAGUAUCAAAGCUAACGCGUUAAGUAUCCCGCCUGG